Molecule: ribosomal RNA, 253 nt
Filed under: uncultured bacterium
Lineage: Bacteria
Description: partial 16S ribosomal RNA
Rfam family: Bacterial small subunit ribosomal RNA
Source: RNAcentral
UACAGAGGCCUCAAGCGUUGUUCGGAAUUACUGGGCGUAAAGGGAAUGUAGGUGGUUGCGUAAGUCAGAUGUGAAAGCCCUGGGCUUAACCCGGGAACUGCAUUUGAUACUGCAUGACUAGAGUGCGAUAGAGGAGUGCGGAAUUCCUGGUGUAGGGGUGAAAUCCGUAGAUAUUAGGAGGAAUACCGAUGGCGAAGGCAGCUCUCUGGCUCGUAACUGACACUGAGAUUCGAAAGCGUGGGUAGCAAACAGG